RNAcentral lists this long non-coding RNA (2089 nucleotides) under Malus domestica (apple). RNAcentral's name for it is "long non-coding RNA (MDOM_LNC016059)". Lineage: Eukaryota; Viridiplantae; Streptophyta; Magnoliopsida; Rosales; Rosaceae. The record is from RNAcentral.
UGAGGAAUGCCAUGCUUGCCAAUACCGAAAGUUGGGGAUGCAUUUUCAAUAGCUUUCAUGAGUUGGAAGGAGAGUAUUUGCAACACUUGAAGACAAAAAUGGGCCACCCCCGUGUUUACGGAGUUGGCCCAUUGAGCCUACUUGCUUCCGCCGCUAAUGGUGGAAACUUGGAACGGGCCAACCCGAACACAGACACGAGGAAAGAUAACGUGCUCGCAUGGCUUGAUGGGUGCCCGGAGGGGUCUGUGCUGUAUGUUUGCUUUGGAAGUCAGACGUUGCUAAAUAAGCAGCAGAUGGAGGCCUUGGCUUCUGGGCUGGAACAGAGUGGAGCUCGGUUUGUGUGGGUUGUGAAAACGAGCUUGGCCGGGAAGGUGAAUGAUGGGUCCGGAGUCGUACCAGAUGGGUUUGAGGAAAGGGUUGCUGGGAGGGGAUUGCUGAUAAAGGGCUGGGCGCCGCAGGUGAUGAUCCUCGGCCACCGGGCGGUUGGAGGGUUUCUCAGCCACUGUGGGUGGAACUCUGUGCUGGAAGGGAUUGUGGGUGGGGUUUUGAUAUUGAGCUGGCCUAUGAAUGCUGACCAGUUUGUAAAUGCCAAGCUAUUGGUUGAGUACAUGGGCGUGGGCGUGAAGGUGUGUGAGGGUGCCGAUGGGGUACCUGACUCGGCCGAGUUGGGAAAGGCGAUUGCUGAGUCAAUAAGUGGGGAAUCACCGGAGAAGGUGAGAGCGAAGGAGCUGAGGGACAAGGCAGUUGCGGCUGUGGGAGAUGGUGGGAGCUCUUCAAAGGAUUUGGACGAGCUUGUGAAAGAGUUGGGUCAAAUUAAAGUGAGGUGAACAGACUAGCCCAUGAAAGAUCGAUUUUGGAGUGUCAAUAGCAGCUCCGUAAAACAAAUAGGAAUCGGGGAAUAAAGCAAUGGUUAUUUUCUAUUACCGUUUUAUAGAUUUCGUAUAAAAGUCCAGGGGAAUGUUCAACUUUUCCAGAAAUAAAUAUUAUUCGGAUCACACUGAAUGAAUUGAAUGGUAUAUUGUUCUUGCCUGUGAGGCAGGAGAGCAUGAUGAUAAAUUUACCUUAGAACUCAAGGAAGGAACUAGCUUCCCCUUGCUGGUUGUUGAUGGGGCAACAUGGUUAGCCGGUACUAAGUGAAAGCACCACAUGGUCUUCACCAAGAACAUCCUUGAUCCUAAGUUGUAAACUCUGCAAAGAGAGUAAACAAGUAAUUUGAGAAUUCUGCUGCAACAUGGUUGUGCCAGGAAAAUGAAAAUUAUGGAUAUAACUCGGGGUAGGGUGGACGACAACAUUACCUGAAAAUGGGAUGAGAGUUCGUUUAAGAGGAAGAAAACAAAGGAUUAAUCAGGACGGAAGCCAAAUUUGAUCAUCUCAGCAAGGAGUUCUGCUGCUGAAUGGAAAUCCCAUCAGAUAACUUCAUACAGAAAGAGUAUUUUGCUUCAGUUAUACGACACCUUUUGCACACUCUGUUAAUUAAGGCGCUAUAAUCUCUGAUGGAGAUUUGAAGUCCUUUUGCCCACGGCCAUAUAUCCAUCACCCUUUGCACAAUGAGCUUUUAUUAACGUGGUAUAGGCAACUUUUGUCAAAUUGGUAUUGCUGGCAUCGAGAGAAACCAGUAGCCUGUCAGCAUCCUCUAGGUCACCAUAUGCACAAAGGCCACUGACAGUCCAAGCAAAGCAAGUUUCCAACAACCAUGUCUGCAAGAACCCACAUCUUAGUCUUUCCCUCUUUCAAAGCAGAGCAUUUGCCUUCCAUGUUCCGCCACUACAGAGAAUCGGAGCCCGACUCAGAGCGUUUGAGGAAUAACGUGCUAGCCAAUACCGAAAGUUGGGGACGCAUUUUUUAUAGCUUUCAUGAGUUGGAAGGAGAGUAUUUGCAACACUUGAGGACAAAAAUGGGCCACCCCCGUCUUUACGGAGUUGGCCCAUUGAACCUACUUGCUUCCGCCGCUAAUGGUGGAAACUUGGAACGGGCCAACCCAAACAGAGAGACACGGGGAAAGAUAACGUGCUCGCAUGCCUUGAUGGGUGCCCGGAUGGAUCUGUGCUGUAUGUUUGCUUUGGAAGUCAGACGUUGCUCAAUAAGCAGC